CCAACUAUUGGUAUAGUUACCAAUAUAUACCAACUAUUGAAUAAGUAACGUUUGUAUUCAUGUCGUCACUUUCACAUAAUUUCAUAAGAACAAUUCCAGUUAAUAUUAAUGCAUCUCUAUUGAGGAACGUCUAUGUAUAUUAGACAACUAGCAUGAAUAAUAAUAAAAUUCAAUAGCGGAGCUGAUUACAAAAUACAAAUCGUCUGCACCAGUUGCAUAACAUAUAAACUGACUGAGAUUCCUUUUCUACCUUAAAUAAUUUUAACAAGUUCAAAAUUAAUAAAUCAACGUUCUUAAUUUUUGUCAAUCUUAAUAAAUAUACAUAUAUAUAAAUAAAUUUAAUCUAGUCAAGAACAUUUAUGUGUAUUUAAAGAAAUUUGACGUCAUUUUUUAGAAAAGUUGUCACCUGUCGUGGACAAUCAAUUCACCAAAAUUUGUUCUCGAAAUCAUCAAAUUUUGUAUAUUGAGAUAAAGUUUAUCAUUAUUAAUAUAGUAACAUAUUUGCAGGAGAAUACAAUGACAUAGAGCUUUUAUUAUUUUAAAGCUAUGAGAUUACUACUACAUAUUACUUCGCGAGUAUAUGUAUAUUCCACACUGUACAACAUAAUUCACGAGGGGAACGCAUUUAUUUCAAUGUGUAUAAAUAAGCUAUUAUAUCUUUUCGAUCAUCCGGCUUUCUAAUACCAUUAAAUACCAUUCUUGUGCCAGGAACAAAUUGUUUGGGGAACUCCAAAUACGCAUCUAAUGAUGUCUGGUCCCAUGUAACGGCCUUGUCCUUCAUUUGCUGCGUAUAUUUGAAAUUGGUAUUGGCUAGAUUAAAGACAAAAAAUGAUAAAUUUUCUGUUAUUACUCGAUCGAUUAUUAAUUUUCCUCUUGCCACAAGUUACUGCUACCCAAAAUUACUUUCAGUGGCAUAUUCUCAAUUUUCUAUUCGACUUUUAUCUGAACAUUUGUCUUCGUCUCACCAAAAUUAGUAGAGCAUUUAUUGUAAAAUUAUGAUAAAUAUACGUACUACCAGAAACUUUGCCAACUACGCCAAAUAAAUUUGGACCUAGUUUGCUAGCACCACCUUGAUUAGGCGUGUGACACAUUGAGCACAUUCUCACGAAUAAUGUCUUUCCCCUCUCAGGAUCUCCCAUUUUUUAUAAAAAUAUUUGUUCUUUCUAAAUUCGGAGGUUAUGUCAACUGUAUAUCUCCAAUAACAUUUCUGACACUGGACACAGAUCAAUUUUCGCAGCGAUUGAAUUUUCUUAUGAAAUGAUAGCAGAUUUCACUCUAUUGCUACCUUCAUAGACUGUCAUGAAUUUCGAAUUUCAGCACGAUUAUGUUACAAUUAGGUAAUUAUCCGUGAUUAAAUAAAAACAAUAUUAUAUGUUUCGUCUGAACUCUUUUGUAACAUUUGUUUCAUUGUAGAUUAAUUAAAAUUAUAGAUUCGCUUUCAUCAUUGCCAUUCCCUAAAAUUAUGAGCGUAGUACUGAUAAUCUUGAAUAAUAGAGGGUUAAUAUUAAUUAUAUGUAUACCUAAACUAAGAUUAUUAAAAUGUUCUAAUAUUGCAUAUCCUAUUUCAUAUUGGAGAAAUUGUGAUGUUAAUAUGAUGAAUUAAUUUACUAUUAUAUUUCUUUAUAUAA
Non-coding RNA from Megalopta genalis, 1628 nucleotides. NCBI's taxonomy places the organism in Eukaryota, Metazoa, Arthropoda, Insecta, Hymenoptera, Halictidae. The record is from RefSeq and is a predicted model, not a curated record.